UAAAUGACCCUGGCUUCAACAACCUUUCCUUGCUCAUUAAACAUGUUCUCAAGAGCCAUGUCAUCCACACCCCAGGAGAGGUUGCCAACAUAGAGACGGUUUCCUGAACCUGAGCCCGAACCUGACCCUGAUCCAGAACCAUAACUGGAACGUUGAGACCCGCCGUAACCACCACCUCGUUGAGACCCGUAACCUCCACCUCUUUCAGAACCGUAACCACCACCACGCUCAGAACCGUAGCCACCACCACGCUCAGAUCCGUAACCGCCACUUCUUGGUCCUCUGGAGAAGGAAUCUUCCCUCUUAGGAGGAGGAGGGCCAGCGUUGACUCUCAAGGGUCUGCCUUCAUAUUCCUGAAAUGGUCAUGUCAAAGGAGUUAAUAAAAAUAACCACAAUGUACAUACAAGACGGUGCAACUAAAACAAAGGUUCAACAAUUAUCUCGGCAACUUAUAUCUCCACAUUAGAAACGACAACACCUAAUCAAAAACCAUGACGUAUCCAUAAACUAUAUAGAGGAGAAGCAGCAUGGUUUAUCUAAUCUAAAAACAAUUCAUAAAAUCCAAGUAAUGUAACUUUCACAUGCGACAACAGAAAGCUAAGACACAAAUAACAUCAUACCACACAAGCAAACCAAUAGCAAGAAACACGAGGU
This 654-nucleotide long non-coding RNA is filed under the name Capsella grandiflora. RNAcentral describes it as "long non-coding RNA (CGRA_LNC001448)". Lineage: Eukaryota; Viridiplantae; Streptophyta; Magnoliopsida; Brassicales; Brassicaceae. The record is from RNAcentral.